CGUGUCUCUUCAAUGGUUGCUAUAAACUAGAUGUCGUUAACUGUGUCCUAAGUCUACUGUUCCAUGUGCCCAUGAACUAGUUUCUUGUUUAUCGAUUUGUUAUUGGACUGUUUAAUGUUUUUUGUUUUGUCUCUUUUUCUAUUGCUAGGAAAGUGGUGAGAAGAUGUCGAUGAUGCCUACUUGGGACAUUCAAAUCAACUUUUUCUUGUGCAAUUUUGUUCGUUCUUGCUAUAUUCAUGUGUAAGGAAAUGUAUUCAUGAGAUGAGUUAUUGUGUUAUGUAAACGUGGAAGAUGUAUUAUGUGAUGUUAUAUGAUGGAUGCUUUUAAUUCGACUUGGAAUUUUCUUGAUUUGAAUAUGAAAUAAUGUUGAAUUUAAUAUUGAACAAAAAGUUGGGUUGAAAAGGCCCAACAAAUAGAAAUGAAACCAAGUUCUGGAAUAAAAA
This 443-nucleotide long non-coding RNA is filed under the name Hordeum vulgare. RNAcentral describes it as "long non-coding RNA (HVUL_LNC003180)". Lineage: Eukaryota; Viridiplantae; Streptophyta; Magnoliopsida; Poales; Poaceae. The record is from RNAcentral.